GACGAACGCUGGCGGCGUGCUUAACACAUGCAAGUCGAACGGUGAAGCGAGUGCUUGCACUCGUGGAUCAGUGGCGAACGGGGGAGUAACACGUGAGUAACCGGCCCAUCACUCUGGGAUAAGCACUGGAAACGGUGUCUAAUACUGGAUACGACCAACCCUUGCGUGGGGUGUUGGGGGAAAGAUGUAUCGGUGAUGGAUGGACUCGCGGCCUAUCAGCUUGUUGGCGGGGUAAUGGCACACCAAGGCGGCGACGGGUAGCCGGCCUGAGAGGGUGACCGGCCACACUGGGCCUGAGACACGGACCAGACUCCUACGGGAGGCAGCAGUGGGGAAUAUUGCACAAUGGGCGCAAGCCUGAUGCAGCGACGCCGCGUGUGGGAUGACGGCCUUCGGGUUGUAAACCUCUUUCAGCAGGGAAGAAGCGAAAGUGACGGUACCUGCAGAAGAAGCACCGGCUAACUACGUG
RNAcentral lists this ribosomal RNA (469 nucleotides) under uncultured bacterium. RNAcentral's name for it is "partial 16S ribosomal RNA". It matches the Rfam family "Bacterial small subunit ribosomal RNA", at positions 28 to 507 of the family's 1533-position model. The record is from RNAcentral.